CAGGGAUUGCCUCAGUAACGGCGAGUGAAGCGGCAACAGCUCAAAUUUGAAAUCUGGCCCCCCGGCCCGAGUUGUAAUUUGCAGAGGAUGCUUCGGGCGCGGCGCCUUCCAAGUCCCCUGGAACGGGGCGCCACAGAGGGUGAGAGCCCCGUCAGGUCGGCCGCCAAGCCUGUGUGAAGCUCCUUCGACGAGUCGAGUAGUUUGGGAAUGCUGCUCUAAGUGGGAGGUAGACCCCUUCUAAAGCUAAAUACCGGCCAGAGACCGAUAGCGCACAAGUAGAGUGAUCGAAAGAUGAAAAGCACUUUGAAAAGAGGGUUAAACAGUACGUGAAAUUGUUGAAAGGGAAGCGCUUGUGACCAGACGUGCGCCGGGCGCUCAGCGGGCGUUCUCGCCCGUGCACUCGCCCCGGCGCAGGCCAGCGUCGGUUCGGGAGGGGGGACAAAGGCGCCAGGCACGUAGCUCCCCCGGGAGUGUUAUAGCCUGGCGCGCCAUGCCCCCGCCCGGACCGAGGUUCGCGCUCCGCAAGGACGCUGGCGUAAUGGUCCCCAGCGGCCCGUCUUGAAACACGGACCAAGGAGUCGAGGUUUUGCGCGAGUGUUUGGGUGUCAAACCCGCACGCGUAAUGAAAGUGAACGCAGGUGGGAGCUUCGGCGCACCACCGACCGAUCCUGAUGUUCUCGGAUGGAUUUGAGUAGGAGCGUAGGGCCUCGGACCCGAAAGAUGGUGAACUAUACUUGGAUAGGGUGAAGCCAGAGGAAACUCUGGUGGAGGCUCGCAGCGGUUCUGACGUGCAAAUCGAUCGUCAAAUCUGAGUAUGGGGGCGAAAGACUAAUCGAACCAUCUAGUAGCUGGUUACCGCCGAAGUUUCCCUCAGGAUAGCAGUGUUGAUCUCAGUUUUAUGAGGUAAAGCGAAUGAUUAGGGACUCGGGGGCGCUUUUCAGCCUUCAUCCAUUCUCAAACUUUAAAUAUGUAAGAAGCCCUUGUUGCUUAGUUGAACGUGGGCCUUCGAAUGCAGCAACACUAGUGGGCCAUUUUUGGUAAGCAGAACUGGCGAUGUGGGAUGAACCAUACGGGGGGUUAAGGUGCCGGAGUGGACGCUCAUCAGACACCACAAAAGGCGUUAGCACAUCUUGACAGCAGGACGGUGGCCAUGGAAGUCGGAAUCCGCUAAGGACUGUGUAACAACUCACCUGCCGAAUGUGCUAGCCCUGAAAAUGGAUGGCGCUCAAGCGUCCCACCCAUACCCCCCCCUCAGGGUAGAAACGAUGCCCUGAGGAGUAGGCGGCCGCAGCGCUGCGUGACGAAGGCUAGGGC
Molecule: ribosomal RNA, 1314 nt
Filed under: Pseudolachnella yakushimensis
Lineage: Eukaryota; Fungi; Ascomycota; Sordariomycetes; Chaetosphaeriales; Chaetosphaeriaceae
Description: eukaryotic LSU rRNA
Rfam family: Eukaryotic large subunit ribosomal RNA
Source: RNAcentral